CUUUGGGGGUACGGGCGCUAAACCCCCUGAUGUUUAAAAACGGGCAGUAAACUCCCUGAACUUUGAGGCGGCGCUCACAAAACCCCCUAAGAUCAAAUAUCGCCGUUUUUUUCGUUUUCUGUCGACGUGGCAUCCAAUUUCUCGUCCGGACACCAAAUGGCGGCGCCUGUCCCCCCUGCAUGCAUGUCUGACACCUGCUGCUUGUGUAAGAAUGCGUCAGUUGACUUUUUAUAAAAAAAAAACAAAUGAAAAGUAACCGCGGUAAUUUAUUUUUUUCUCUCUCCUACUUUUCCUUUUCCCCACUCGCUCCUCUCACUUCCGUUUCACUAUUUUCGUUUCAAAUAUUUUCGCCACGCUUCGUCUUCUUCCCCUCGUUUUUUCGUUUCUUCGCUGACACUGACCUAGGGUUUGCUCCUUUCCCAUUUUUCAUUCAAUCUUUCUCAUUUUCCUCGCAUUCUUCCCCAUUCUUCUUCCAUUGUUCAACAUUGUCUUUCAUUUACCGAAGUGUAAAAAAUAUAAGUAAAAUCGCUGAAAAACCUAACUAAAAGAGAACAUUACUUCUGCAACAAAGAACAAGAAAGUGAUUAAAGGUUUUUAGUUUGUGUGGCUGCAAAAAAUGAAGAGAAAAGGAUUCAGUAGACGAAAACGAAAAGAAAAGAGUGAUUACAGAAGCGGGCCUCCUGGAACUGCUGGGUAUGGCUUGAUGGAUAGUUCCAGCAGCGAUGAUGUUGUUGAAAGUAUGCUUGUAGUCUAUUUUAUAGGACAUUUUUGCUAAGAAAUUGGCGGGGGUUGAUGACUGUAAAAGUUGAUAAAUUUGUAGGACCACUUAAUUACCAAACAUGUCAAAUUUUUUUUUAGAGAUAAAUUGGUUGAUUGGUUUGGGACCAUUUCUUUUUGGCUGUAUAUGCUUUUUGAAUAAUAGAAUAUGCUUGCUA
Mercurialis annua (annual mercury) is the source of this 935-nucleotide long non-coding RNA. RefSeq lists it as uncharacterized. Lineage: Eukaryota; Viridiplantae; Streptophyta; Magnoliopsida; Malpighiales; Euphorbiaceae. The record is from RefSeq and is a predicted model, not a curated record. The transcript has 2 exons.